Molecule: ribosomal RNA, 433 nt
Filed under: uncultured bacterium
Lineage: Bacteria
Description: partial 16S ribosomal RNA
Rfam family: Bacterial small subunit ribosomal RNA
Source: RNAcentral
UAGGGAAUCUUCCACAAUGGACGCAAGUCUGAUGGAGCAACGCCGCGUGAGUGAAGAAGGCUUUCGGGUCGUAAAACUCUGUUAUUGAAGAAGAACGUGUGUGACAGUAACUGGUCAUGCAGUGACGGUAUUCAAUCAGAAAGUCACGGCUAACUACGUGCCAGCAGCCGCGGUAAUACGUAGGUGGCAAGCGUUGUCCGGAUUUAUUGAGCGUAAAGCGAGUGCAGGCGGUCUUUUAAGUCUGAUGUGAAAGCCUUCGGCUUAACCGAAGAAGGGCAUCGGAAACUGGGAGACUUGAGUGCAGAAGAGGAGAGUGGAACUCCAUGUGUAGCGGUGAAAUGCGUAGAUAUAUGGAAGAACACCAGUGGCGAAGGCGGCUCUCUGGUCUGUAACUGACGCUGAGGCUCGAAAGCGUGGGUAGCAAACAGGAUUA